GGAGAGAUGGCAGAGUGGCCGAAUGCGCAGCAUUGCUAAUGCUGUGUUCGGGUCAAACCGGACCGCGGGUUCGAAUCCCGCUCUCUCCG
This 89-nucleotide transfer RNA is filed under the name Planctomycetaceae bacterium. Its description in RNAcentral is "tRNA-Ser". It matches the Rfam family "tRNA". From Rfam's summary of the family: Transfer RNA (tRNA) molecules are approximately 80 nucleotides in length. The record is from RNAcentral. Lineage: Bacteria; Pseudomonadati; Planctomycetota; Planctomycetia; Planctomycetales; Planctomycetaceae. RNAcentral also lists the same sequence under 1 other name.